Small nucleolar RNA from Salvia splendens (bonfire salvia), 124 nucleotides. RefSeq annotates it as small nucleolar RNA SNORD14. NCBI's taxonomy places the organism in Eukaryota, Viridiplantae, Streptophyta, Magnoliopsida, Lamiales, Lamiaceae. The record is from RefSeq and is a predicted model, not a curated record. The transcript has a single exon.
CUUCUGUGAUGAUAAAUUCUAAGGCUGUUUCUCAAAACAUUCGCAGUAGCCGCCUGAAAGCUUUCGCCUUUCGCCUGGCUUGAGAGCUUCUGAUGCUUAUAUUCUUCCUUGGAUAUCUGAGAUC